AGAGUUUGAUCAUGGCUCAGAAUCAACGCUGGCGGCGUGCCUCAGACAUGCAAGUCGAACGCGAAAGUCCCCUUCGGGGGAUAAGUAGAGUGGCGUCCGGGUGAGUAACACGUAGGUAAUCUACCUUCGGGUGGGGAAUAACCCAGGGAAACUUGGGCUAAUACCGCAUAAUGCAGCGGCACCACAUGGUGACAGUUGUUAAAGCGGGGGAUCUUCGGAUCUCGCGCCUGAAGAGGAGCCUGCGGCAGAUUAGCUAGUUGGUAAGGUAAUGGCUUACCAAGGCGACGAUCUGUAGCCGGCCUGAGAGGGCGGUCGGCCACACUGACACUGACAUACGGGUCAGACUCCUACGGGAGGCAGCAGUCGGGAAUUUUGGGCAAUGGGCGAAAGCCUGACCCAGCAACGCCGCGUGAAGGAUGAAAUCCCUCGGGAUGUAAACUUCGCAAGAAUGGGAAGAAUUAGUAGGGGCUAAUACCCUCUAUGAUGACGGUACCAUUUGUAAGCUCCGGCUAACUCCGUGCCAGCAGCCGCGGUAAUACGGGGGGAGCAAGCGUUGUUCGGAUUCACUGGGCGUAAAGGGUGCGUAGGUGGUGAGGUAAGUCGGAUGUGAAAGCUCGGAGCUCAACUCCGAAAUGGCAUUGGAAACUACCUUGCUCGAGGGUUGGAGGGGGGACUGGAAUACUUGGUGUAGCAGUGAAAUGCGUAGAUAUCAAGUGGAACACCAGUGGCGAAGGCGAGUCCCUGGACAACUCCUGACACUGAGGCACGAAAGCUAGGGGAGCAAACAGGAUUAGAUACCCUGGUAGUCCUAGCCGUAAACGGUGCAUGUUUGCUGUAAAAGGAAUCGACCCCUUUUGUGGCGGAGCCAACGCGUUAAACAUGCCGCCUGGGAAGUACGGUCGCAAGAUUAAAACUCAAAGAAAUUGACGGGGGCCUGCACAAGCGGUGGAGUAUGUGGCUCAAUUCGAUGCAACGCGAAGAACCUUACCUGGCCUUGACAUGCAUAUAGUAGAAGGGUGAAAGCCUGACGAGGUAGCAAUACCAGUAUGCACAGGUGCUGCAUGGCUGUCGUCAGCUCGUGUCGUGAGAUGUUGGGUUAAGUCCCGCAACGAGCGCAACCCCUGUGUCCUGUUGCCACCCCGGCGUGAGCCGGGAGCACUCUGGACAGACUGCCUCGCUUAAACGAGGAGGAAGGUGGGGAUGACGUCAAGUCAGUAUGGUCCUUACGGCCAGGGCUGCACACGUACUACAAUGCCCGGCACAAAGGGAAGCGAGACCGUCAGGUGGAGCAAAUCCCCUAAAACCGGGCCCAGUUCAGAUUGUCGUCUGCAACUCGACGGCAUGAAGCUGGAAUCGCUAGUAAUGGCGCAUCAGCUACGGCGCCGUGAAUACGUUCCCAGGCCUUGUACAUACCGCCCGUCACAUCAUGAAAGCCGUUUGUACCCGAAGUCACUGUGCCAACCGCAAGGAGGCAGGUGCCGAAGGUAUGGAUGGUGAUUGGGAUGAAGUCGUAACAAGGUAACCGUA
This 1527-nucleotide ribosomal RNA is filed under the name uncultured bacterium. RNAcentral describes it as "partial 16S ribosomal RNA". It matches the Rfam family "Bacterial small subunit ribosomal RNA". The record is from RNAcentral.